This is a non-coding RNA of Mycena epipterygia, 99 nucleotides long. The record is from the annotation of a GenBank genome assembly. NCBI's taxonomy places the organism in Eukaryota, Fungi, Basidiomycota, Agaricomycetes, Agaricales, Mycenaceae.
UCGGAUGUGGUGUAUGUAUGGUGCACACCUGCUGUCUAUGCACGAAGCAGAUCGAUAAACAGUCUGCGGGAAGCCUGGGUUCGACUCCCGGCGUCCGAA